AUGUUCAUUUCAGUAGCACAUAUGCUAAAAUUGGAACAUUUCAGAGAAGAUAAAAUUACAUGGCCCUUUGCAAGGAUGACAUGCAAAUUUGUGAAGCAUUCCAUAUUUCU
Vulpes vulpes (red fox) is the source of this 110-nucleotide small nuclear RNA. The record is from Ensembl. Lineage: Eukaryota; Metazoa; Chordata; Mammalia; Carnivora; Canidae.